UGCCAGACUCCUACGGGAGGCAGCAGUGGGGAAUAUUGCACAAUGGGGGGAACCCUGAUGCAGCGACGCCGCGUGAGUGAAGAAGUAUUUCGGUAUGUAAAGCUCUGUCAGCAGGGAAGAAGAAAGACGGUACCUGACCAAGAAGCCCCGGCUAACUACGUGCCAGCAGCCGCGGUAAUACGUAGGGGGCAAGCGUUAUCCGGAUUUACUGGGUGUAAAGGGAGCGUAGACGGCAGGGCAAGUCUGGAGUGAAAGGCAGGGGCCCAACCCCUGGACUGCUCUGGAAACUGUCCGGCUGGAGUGCGGGAGGGGCAGGCGGAAUUCCUGGUGUAGCGGUGAAAUGCGUAGAUAUCAGGAGGAACACCGGCGGCGAAGGCGGCCUGCUGGACCGUAACUGACGUUGAGGCUCGAAAGCGUGGGGAGCAAACAGGAUUAGAUACCCUAGUA
This 447-nucleotide ribosomal RNA is filed under the name uncultured bacterium. Its description in RNAcentral is "partial 16S ribosomal RNA". It matches the Rfam family "Bacterial small subunit ribosomal RNA", at positions 329 to 792 of the family's 1533-position model. The record is from RNAcentral.